CUGUUUAGACUUCGUAGUGACCUGCGGAGGAUCAUUAUCGAAUAAACUUGCGCAGGCUGUUGCUGGCCCCCUUCCAAGGGCAAUUGUGCACGCUUGUCAUCUUUAUUUCUCCAACUUGUGCACAUAUUGUAGACCCUGGAGUCUUGUGUUGAUUUGCUUCGAGUUGGGACUGCUGUGCUUUUUUUCAAUAAAGUCAGCUUUCCCUUGCAUUUCUCCAGGUCUAUGUCAUUUUUCACAACCUCUCAUAGUGUUUAGAAUGUUGAAUCAAAUGAAAUAUAUAUACAACUUUCAGCAACGGAUCUCUUGGCUCUCGCAUCGAUGAAGAACGCAGCGAAAUGCGAUAAGUAAUGUGAAUUGCAGAAUUCAGUGAAUCAUCGAAUCUUUGAACGCAUCUUGCGCUCCUUGGUAUUCCGAGGAGCAUGCCUGUUUGAGUGUCAUUCAAGUUCCUCAACCACAUCGAUGAUAACUGGUGUGGCUUGGAUUAUGGGGGUUCUUAUUUUUGCAGGCUUCUGUGGAAGUCUGCUCCCCUGAAAUGCAUUAGUGGUUAUUGCGCGAGCCAACCACAGGCGUGUGUGAUAAAAUAUCCAUGCCCUUUUGGCUUUUAUGCUGUUGAACCGCUUCCAACAAACCCACAUUUUGAUGAAUUUGACCUCAAAUCAGGUAGGACUACCCGCUGAACUUAAGCAUAUCA
This 691-nucleotide ribosomal RNA is filed under the name uncultured Inocybe. Its description in RNAcentral is "eukaryotic LSU rRNA". The stretch from base 284 to 437 matches the Rfam family "5.8S ribosomal RNA". The record is from RNAcentral. Lineage: Eukaryota; Fungi; Basidiomycota; Agaricomycetes; Agaricales; Cortinariaceae.